Molecule: long non-coding RNA, 1995 nt
Organism: Cyprinus carpio (common carp)
Lineage: Eukaryota; Metazoa; Chordata; Actinopteri; Cypriniformes; Cyprinidae
Source: Ensembl
UUUAUUUUUUGUCAAUAUCAUUUUAAACGAACAUUUGACUCGUUAAUUUACCUGUUAGCUACUGUUACAAGCUGAAAUCAAUACCUACAGGCUAUCAUGGCUUUUAACUGUGGAAAAAAAUAACUAAUCUGAACUAAAAACAUUUUUUUUCUGAUCCAAGGAAGUUAGUGUUAUUGCAUUUCCAUUGCAAGAAUAGCAUGCAUGUCAGCAUCUUUAUUAAAGUGUAUUUGUGUGAAUCUCUCUCAUAAAUACACACACAGGAACAUUUUAGCCAAGAAUUACUGCUGACCGUUAUGUAUUUGUGUUUUACAGGAGGAUCUGGUGGCCGCAAGGAAAACCCUAUUUGGCAAGCAAAACUUUUUCUCCUUCCAGGGCCAGAUAAUGGUUUUCUGCCCCCCACAAUAGAACUUGAGGAACUGGCUAAACAUAGAUUAGGAAAACCUGUGCACGAGUCAACGGAGGCCGGACGCACAAACUCAAGGAUUGGGUUAAACUGGAGUUUAUCUGUAUUAAACAACUUUGUUUGCCAAAGCUACCCUCGCAUCAGUUUAAAUUUAAUAGGCUUUGAAUUGGCAAGGACAGGCAAAGGACGCAAGAUCCAGAAAUUGCAAGUUAGUUCUGUGAAGGAACUAAAAGCAGUUGUUGGCAAAAGCAGGCUUUACAUCGUGCCACGAGCCACUGUCUUCAAGGUAACAUCACCACCCUCUGCCAUGUCCCAGAAUUCAUUCCAACCACUCGCAGCUCCAGCAGUAGAUGAGACCUCACAAGUGGUUUCAGAUCAGGUGGCAUCCACAUCCUCUGCCAUAUCCAUGAAUUCAUUCCCACCACUCUCAAUUGCUCCGGUACAAGAUGAGACCACGCCUGUGGCUGAGAGUACCCAAGCUCAAAGUGUGGUUGCAAAUCAGGCUCUUCAAGAAUGGCGAGCAAUACGUGCCCAGCAAGACCAGGAGUAUAAUACAAGUUUGUUGGUGGAUCAGGAGAAGGAGAGGAAGAAACUAGUCUAUCAGGCUUGUGAGGAAAGAUGUCAAAAGGCUAUUGAGGCAAGACGUCAGCGAAUGUCUGCAUGUGAGGAACCCUCAGAUGGGGUGUUGAUCAAAUUUAAAUAUCCAAAUGGACACACCUAUAUGAGGAAAUUCCGUUUGUCGGAGCCAAUCCAGAUCUUGUUUGACUUUGUGGGACAAGAUAAUAUUGCCAGUGAAAUCUUUGUGGUGCAAGAAGCUGCAUCAUCAAGAUCAGUUGAGAGCAGUUGCUCCGGGUCAAUAAUGGAUCAUGGCAUAAAAGCAUCCUCAGCUCUAUAUGUGCUUUGGUUUUCAAAUAAGGAUGUACAGGUAAAUGUGUUGCAUUUUUAUUUCUUGACUCAAAUGAAAAUGGAAUGUGUUUUGGUUUGUGCAAGCUCAUGUUUUAUGCAUGUUUGUCUUCAGGAAAUUCUCUCAGAUCAACAAAAUGAUGGAGCUUAUGCCCUACACCAUACAUCUCAUGGUCAGUCAUAACUGUCUGAGACCUCCACCCAGCCAAGUCUCUCUGUGCCCUCAUUCCAGCCACCGCUGCCUGAGCCCUCCACCCGCUCACCGCUGCCUGAGCCCUCCACCCAGCCACCGCUCACUCUGUUCUCACAACCACAAGAAAUCCUGACUCUUUAUGAUGAACCAUCACUCUCUCCUUCAUCUGCCCAAGAACCAAUCAUUAUUCUUGAUGAACAAGAUGAGUCGUUUUCACAAAAUCAGUCUCCUGUAUCAACACAUCACCUCAGAGGACCUGUGGAUGAGUGUGUUUUUCUCAUUAACUUGAUUUUAUAUUUUUCUAGUGUAUGUAGAUGUUUCAUUUUCUGUAUCCUAUUACAUUUAAUCAGGUGGUUAACUUAAAAUGCAUGAACUUCUUUGUUUGCAGGAUUGAUCUACAGACCAUAUUGAAAAAAAUGGUCAGCAAAGUUGAUGGAAGAUUCUGUCCAACAAGCAACCAAAUAAAUGUGUGCAGGGAUAAUGUUUUACUGUGUAG